RNAcentral lists this ribosomal RNA (440 nucleotides) under uncultured bacterium. Its description in RNAcentral is "bacterial SSU rRNA". It matches the Rfam family "Bacterial small subunit ribosomal RNA", at positions 11 to 433 of the family's 1533-position model. The record is from RNAcentral.
GUUUGAUCCUGGCUCAGAGCGAACGUUAGCGGCAGGCUUAACACAUGCAAGUCGAGCGACAAAGGGGCUUCGGCCCUGAGUAGAGCGGCGGACGGGUGCGUAACACGUGGAUAAUCUGCCUCGUGGCGGGGGGAUAACAGUCCGAAAGGACUGCUAAUACCGCAUGUCAGGUCGGAAACCCCGGUUUCUGACGAAAAAGAGGGCGCCCGCAAGGGGCUCUCACCACGAGAUGAGUCCGCGGCCCAUCAGCUAGUUGGCGGUGUAAUAGACCACCAAGGCUAAGACGGGUAGCUGGUCUGAGAGGAUGACCAGCCACACUGGGACUGAGACACGGCCCCAGACUCCUACGGGAGGCAGCAGUGGGGAAUAUUGGACAAUGGGCGAAAGCCUGAUCCAGCCAUGCCGCGUGAGUGAGUGAAGGUCUUCGGAUCGUAAAGCUC